Carya illinoinensis is the source of this 3936-nucleotide long non-coding RNA. RefSeq lists it as uncharacterized. The record is from RefSeq and is a predicted model, not a curated record. NCBI's taxonomy places the organism in Eukaryota, Viridiplantae, Streptophyta, Magnoliopsida, Fagales, Juglandaceae. The transcript has 3 exons.
UUUUUUUUUAAUUUAUAAUAUUUUUUUUCAAUUUUUUUGUUCUUUCUCAAAACCCAAUAAAAUAUUUUAAUUCAAAACUAUAUUACUAUUAUUCAUUGAAUUCUAAGAUACUUUAAGCGUCCAAACAAGCCCUUAGACCUUACCGGGCAAUGGUAAAAUCCGCUACAGCCCCAUAACAUAGCUGUUAGUCAGAUGUUGAUGUUGCUUUUUAAAACUAGGAGAACGAAUCGGUGAUCUCGAUCAUCACUUACCAUAUUCCAAUUCGUUGUCUUUUUCAACAUCACUAGGAGGUUUAGUUCGAGUUCUAUUGAUAAUCGACAUAAAUGAAUGAGCUGAAAGCUAGUUCAGUAGUUUCUGUUGUCUAAUCCUCUGAGGGGGGAUUAGGGGGUAACGUUCCUUUCUAAUCUAAUCUGUCAUCUAUGAGUUCCAGUCAAACCUAUAGCUCAAUGAAUGUAAUCUCAUAGCAAAAUCUGAUCUAUGUCAAGAUGGAUGGGUCUAAAUUUAUGGGGCAUGCUUCAAUUAACAGUAAUGUAAAUCAUGAUUUGAUAUCAGAAUCUGAAUUUAAACUCGUAGCAAAUAAAACACGACAAAAGGGGAAUAAACCCACAAAAUAUGAAGCACAACAAAACAAGAAAAUAAGGAUCACGACAUAAGAUGUACAUGCACUUGGAAACAGACUGGAAUGCCGCUCCCACCUUUGUUCCCACAGACUUCACCAAGCUUCUCUUGGAUUUUUCGUGGAUCAUUAGUGGACUUCGCAAGUGUUGGGUUCUAACCAUCUAACUAGUUGCUCUUUUAAUACACAAAUUGCUAACUAAAUCCAAACAUGACAGCGAUAUUGUAAUUUAGCUUCAUCCAUACGGUGAUUGAGUCAAGAGAAAAUUUAGAAAAUAUUAUACUAAAUAAUAACCCUACAACAUCAACUCUUCCAAGAAUCCCAAGAUAAGAGAUUUUCGAUAUAACUAGGAAGACAUUUCAAUACCACAGGAGUUACUGGACAUGCCAGUUUGAUAUAGCCCAUUUGGUAUCUUCGUGUCCAGAAUUAGUAGGGUUAAAUCUAGGGGUGUGCAAAAUUCCGAAGUGUUCGAUUCCGGCUGACUUCUGCUCCGAUUCCGACUUCGACGGAAUCGGAGGGUUCAGAAGUCGGAGUCGGAAUCGGAGCAGUUCCGACUCCAUAACGGAAGUCGGAAUCGGAAUCGGUAAACCGUAGGUUCCGAAUUCCGAUUCCGAUUCUGACUUUUUUUAAAAAAAAAACCCACGCCGUUUUGCAUCUGGUUUUUGUCUACCUGUUAAUUGGAACGGCGUCGUUCCAUUUAAAGAGAACGACACCGUUUGAACUUUGAAUCACGGCUAAAUGGCCAUAAGCAAUUUAGAGGUCUGUUCCUCACUCGAGUCCUCGACCGGUUGACCAUUUAGCCAUAAUUCUCCCCUCACGCAGCCUCGCUCCGACACACUGUCCUCAGCUGCUCAGCACUUAGCUCAGACUCAUCUCACCGAUGACACCACAGCCCCCCAUCGACUAUCGACCAUAGUCCGCCGUAAAUUGGCAGAGGUUGUCGUCGCCGCAGUGCCAAAUUGCAACCAAGAUAAUACAAUCGAUUUCAAGCUAUGGAGGAAGAACCAUAUGGGACCCCAGAACAAGAUCAGGAUGCCACAAUUCUGUCCCCAGCACCGAGAUCCAGACCCACUUCCAGAACACAAACUUCAUGUGCAAGUAGUCGAUUCCCACUCCCGGUAAACAUAGAAGAUGAGGAUACAUUUAAUGAUGAGGAGGAGAUGGGUAUUGGGGAUGAGCUGGAUGUACCACCACCUUCAUCCGCGAGGGCCAGACCACCACGUCCACGAUCAAAUAAAAAAAAGUCGUGGACGACGUGGAAACAUUUCACAAAGGUUGACGGUGAUCCCUCAGAACCGCACGCAGCUUGCAACCAUUGUGGCAUAGAAGUUGCAUGUCAUUCAAAGAAACAAGGCACUGCUGGUUUGAUAUCACAUCUAAAUAGUUGCCAGAGGUAUAAGAUAGCGAAAGGAUUGACGGCCCGAGAUCAGACAACGCUAAGUUAUGAAACUUCUACUACGACUGAUGGUACGCAAUCCAAGAAAAUGGUCAUCCCUCAAUACAGUGAGAAGAUGUUGAGAGAUGCGCUUGCCGAGAUGAUCAUUAAAGAUGAGAUGCCUUUUACUACAGUUGAGAAAAGAGGGUUCCGAAAGUUUAUCAAGCUUAUUGAGCCACGAUUUCCAUUGCCGUCACGGUAUACAGUGAUGCGAGAUUGUAUGAAAAGGCAUUUAAAAGAGAAGGCUGAGAUGAGACAAAUGUUUGUGACGACCGGCCAGAGAGUCUCAUUUACGACUGACACAUGGACGUCUAUACAGAAUGUUUCCUACAUGUGUAUUACAACACACUACAUUGACAGUUCAUGGACUUUAAAAAAAUGAAUUAUUGGAUUCAAAGAAAUAAAUGAUCAUAAGGGUGCAUCAAUUGGGGCAGCGAUGGAUGAUUGCUUGAAAGAUUGGGGAAUUCAGAAGGUUUUAUGCAUUACAGUUGACAAUGCCAGUGCUAAUGCUACUGCAAUUGAAUGGAUCAAGCGGAAUACGAGAGUGAGAGAUGAUGUCAUCCGGGACCAUGAGUUUAUCCAUAUUCGUUGUUAUGCUCACAUAAUCAACCUGAUUGUGACUGAGGGGUUAAAAGAGGUUGACGAUUCCAUUACAAAAGUCCGCAACAUUGUGCGGUAUGUGAGGGCUUCCCCGCAAAGGCUGAAAAAAUUCAGGACAAUAGAAGAACUUGGGAUAAAACAUUCUCGGACGCUGUGCUUGGACGUUCUCACUCGAUGGAACUAUACAUACAUGAUGUUGGAUGUGGCACAGAAGUACCAAAAAGUGUUUGAGCGGAUGGAGGUGGAAGAUGGGGGUCUUAAGUAUGUUUUGCUGGAGCCUGCAGGAAAGGGGUUCGGUUCGCCGGACACACAUGAUUGGACGAGUGUAGGAUUCUUUAUUACAUUUUUGCAGAUUUUUUAUUAUAUUACAAUGAAAAUAUCUGGAUCCGCAUACACGACUGCAAACUUGUGGUUCAGUCAGAUCUCGACACUACACCACCACUUGGAAGAUGGUUGUGAUAACCCUAAUGGAUUGUUAUCUGGUAUGGCUCAGAGGAUGUUGUCCAAAUAUAAUAAAUCUUGGGGGCAAAUUGAGAAGAUAAAUAAAUUACUUUGUGGCUGUGAUCCUUGACCCCCAAAUCAAGUUGGCCGUGAUAGAAUAUUAGGCAAAUUCCGUCCUCGGGGCAAUGAAGGUUGCAUCGUUUAUUACAGCGCUGAAAACUGAUCUCGAUGACUUGUACAACCACUACAAAAAAAUAGUGGACAGCCUUCAUCUUCAGCGGGGUACCUCACACGUGACUCCGACACCUCACUCUGAUGACUUUAGCCCGACUGACACAUUGCCUCGACGCCGUAGGAAUUACGACAUCAUGAAUUAGUAUAAUCAGCUCGUUGCAUCGAAGAAUAUUAUACGGUGUACUUCAGAGGUUGAACGGUAUUUUAUGAAAGAAGUCGAGGCACCUAGUCCUGCAUUUGAGAUAUGCAUUUGGUGAAAGGCUAAUUCCAUCAAGUAUCCAAUCCUUUCCCGUAUUGCCCGAGAUAUGCUAGCCAUUCUUAUUACAACGGUUGCAUCUGAGUCGGCGUUUAGCACUGGAGGUCGAGUCUUGGAUGCUUUCCGGAGUUCUUUGUCACUGUCAACUGUGGAGGCCCUCGUUUGCACAAAGAACUGGAUCAGUGAUACACCCCUUGGACUAGAUAGCAUUGACAUUAAUGAUGAGAGCUAUAGGUUUGAAGAUGAUGUAAUUGUGAACCCCAAUAUAGUUGCCGAUAAAUGGAGUAUGGAUAAAGAUAAGUUGAUAUUAGAAUUAACUUAAUCUUUAUUGGUAUUAAUGGUAAUUAAAUUUUA